This 45-nucleotide non-coding RNA is filed under the name Schistosoma margrebowiei. Lineage: Eukaryota; Metazoa; Platyhelminthes; Trematoda; Strigeidida; Schistosomatidae. The record is from RNAcentral.
AUCCCGAUGGCGAGUCCCAAAUAGGACGAAACCUGUGUCCUGGAU